UGUAGUCUGCAACCCGACCUACAUGAAGCUGGAAUCGCUAGUAAUCGCAGGUCAGCAUACUGCCGUGAAUACGUUCCCGGGCCUUGUACACACCGCCCGUCACACCAUGAGAGUUAGGAAUACCCGAAGCCUGUGAGCCAACUUUUCAAGAGGCAGCAGUCGAAGGUAGAACUAAUGAUUGGGGUGAAGUCGUAACAAGGUAGC
This 204-nucleotide ribosomal RNA is filed under the name uncultured bacterium. Its description in RNAcentral is "partial 16S ribosomal RNA". It matches the Rfam family "Bacterial small subunit ribosomal RNA", at positions 1299 to 1500 of the family's 1533-position model. The record is from RNAcentral.